This 407-nucleotide ribosomal RNA is filed under the name Verrucomicrobiota bacterium. Its description in RNAcentral is "Verrucomicrobia bacterium partial 16S ribosomal RNA". It matches the Rfam family "Bacterial small subunit ribosomal RNA", at positions 355 to 776 of the family's 1533-position model. The record is from RNAcentral. Lineage: Bacteria; Pseudomonadati; Verrucomicrobiota.
UGGGGAAUAUUGGACAAUGGAGGAAACUCUGAUCCAGCAAUUCUGUGUGUGUGAAGAAGGUUUUAGGACUGUAAAACACUUUUAGUAGGGAAGAAAAAAAUGACGGUACCUACAGAAGAAGCAACAGCUAAAUACGUGCCAGCAGCCGCGGUAAUACGUAUGUUGCGAGCGUUAUCCGGAAUUAUUGGGCUUAAAGGGCAUCUAGGCGGUAAGACAAGUUGAAGGUGAAAACCUGUGGCUCAACCAUAGGCUUGCCUACAAAACUGUUGAACUAGAGUACUGGAAAGGUGGGUGGAACUACACGAGUAGAGGUGAAAUUCGUAGAUAUGUGUAGGAAUGCCGAUGAUGAAGAUAACUCACUGGACAGAAACUGACGCUGAAGUGCGAAAGCUAGGGGAGCAAACAGG